AUCUGGAAGGGAGUCUAGCAUCAGCAGCACAUGGACCAGGGCCGAGAUAGUAUAGGAUGACCGUUGCCCCCACUGGUUACCAGUGGUACUGAUUAAUGGGAUGAACAGAAUUCUAUUAGGAGCAGUUUGUAUGAAAGUUAAUGUUUGAAUGCCGUGGUUAUGAAGAAACCAAGGGUAGAAACGAAUGUACUGGACAGUGUGAUAGUUAACAACCUUUGUGCCAAUUUAUAUGGGGCUUUUCGAUUCUUCGGAGCAGCAAACUAUAAAGGAGAAAUUAGUAUAACUGCCUACGACUAACAAUUUACAUAACAUUAUUUGUUUAUGAAGCUAGUGUUGACAAUUACAUCAAACAUUGUACUUUAUUGUAAAUGCUUACAGUACAAAACAUGCCAGUCAGUGGAUUACACUGUGUAUGAUUUGAUGUUGAAUAACUGGACGUAUUAUGGAAACGCCCCUGAAGGGUGGGCAGGCGGCAUCCACAGACUUUGUCCGGAGCUUAUUUUCUUAAUGCAAUGGAGGGAUAUUGAUGAAACUUGGUACAGGUGUUCACCUUUAUGAGACGGAGUGUUAUGCACAAAAAACAGGUCUACGGUCAAGGUCACAUUUGAAGGUCAAAGGAUACAAGAAUGAAAACUUUGGUUCAUACUUGGAAGUUAAAGGUCAAUUUCUUUAUAUGAUACUGCAAGUUCAUAAGCGCUUAUUUUUGGUGCUUCAACAUGUAUUCCGCGAGAAACUGGGUCACAUGCGGUCAAAAACUAGGUCAUUAGGUCAUGUAUAUUGAAACUUUCCCCAAAAAGCUGCAACAGUCAUUCCUGAUCAAGUAAUGCAAAAGUUAACAAAUGUCAGGCCUUCAUGUUUCGACUGUGAGCAUGCGCAAAAAACACCCUCUUCCCCAGUAAUUUUGGAUAAAUAUUUUUUAUACAAAUUAAUGUAAAUCAUUUAUUUAUACAGAAUAUUUACCAAUUUUGUUUUUGUUUACACCAGUUGGUGUUGUAAGUGGAAACUAUUAGAUGGUGUGUUCAAUUUUAUAAAUAACCGAUUGCAAUCGAAUAUUUCCAAGGUGGUCAACUUAUCAUCUGUCCGGGUUUAUCAUUAGUACCAGUACCCUUGUAAUUUGCUUAUUUUUGGCAGGACAUUAAACAAGAAAGCUUUAUAAAAAAAAUUAUUGUGUUAUAUAAUAUAUGAGUAACACUUGAUUGCUUUUGAAUACUGUACAAAAAUAUGUUCAACAGCCAAUUUGGAGUUCUAAUGAACUUUAUUUUUUUACUAUUUUUUCACUUCACUUGCCAUUUAUUUUGAAAUAGCCCAACAUUUUAGAUGUCACAGAUGUAACUAAAUCUUUAUGAAACUGGGUCUAUCAGUUUUAGGUCAAGUUUUACUGGGUCAUGUGGUGUCAAAAACUUGGUCAGUAAGUCAGAUCAAAGGAAAAGAUUGUGACCACUCUGGAGACGCAUUUAAGACCCAAUAUAAUUUAUAAAACUUGGUCAUAAUGUUAAGUCUUGAUGAUCUGUAGGUAAAGUUUGAAUGUGGGUCAUGUAGGGUCAAUACCUAGGUCAGUAGGUCAUACCUAUAGAAAAGAGUGGGAACUUAGAGGCCACAGUUGUGACACAAUUUUUAGCUCACCACAGCAAUGCUCAUGUGAGCGUUUUUGACCGCACAAUGUUUGGUGUCUGUCGUGACUUCUGUUAACAUUUAGCUUGUGUAUGCGAUACAGGCUGUAUUUUUCAACAGUUACUGGUCUUCAUGAAAUUUUGUCAGAAUGGUUACCUUUAUGAAAUCUAGGCCAAGUUCGAAAAUGGGUCAUCUGGGAUAAAAAAAGAACUAGGUCACUAGGUCAAAUGAAAGAAAAACUUUGUGUAUGCGAUAAAGGCUCUAUUUUUCAGUUGGUCUUCAUUAAUUUUUUUCAGAAUAAUAACCUUGAUGAUUCCUUCGUCAGGUGAGCGAUACAGGGCCUUCAUGGCCCUCUUGUUAUAUUAGUCUUGAAAUUUGGAACAUUCAAAAACGGCUCAAUGGUGUGAUCUCUUGUUAUGUAUUAAAGUGACUCCCGUUCUCUUUGACCUCAAUAUUAUGCAUUAUUUUUUACCCUUGCAUUUUCAAUCUGUUGUAGCCUAGAUAUUAUUGCUUUCCUGUACGGCUCACUGUCACUAUAUAUAUACGAUACAUCUAUAAGAAUAAAGUCUGUUCAGCAGGAA
Long non-coding RNA from Mercenaria mercenaria, 2192 nucleotides. RefSeq lists it as uncharacterized. The transcript is spliced from 3 exons. The record is from RefSeq and is a predicted model, not a curated record. NCBI's taxonomy places the organism in Eukaryota, Metazoa, Mollusca, Bivalvia, Venerida, Veneridae.